This 427-nucleotide ribosomal RNA is filed under the name uncultured Alphaproteobacteria bacterium. Its description in RNAcentral is "bacterial SSU rRNA". It matches the Rfam family "Bacterial small subunit ribosomal RNA", at positions 1073 to 1500 of the family's 1533-position model. The record is from RNAcentral. Lineage: Bacteria; Pseudomonadati; Pseudomonadota; Alphaproteobacteria.
UGUUGGGUUAAGUCCCGCAACGAGCGCAACCCUCACUGUUAGUUGCCAUCGGGUAAAGCUGGGCACUCUAACGGAACUGCCGGUGACAAGCCGNNGGAAGGUGGGGAUGACGUCAAGUCCUCAUGGCCCUUAUAGGNNGGGCUACACACGUACUACAAUGGCGGUGACAAAGGGCGCCGAACCCGUAAGGGUGAGGGAAUCCCUAAAAGCCGCCUCAGUUCGGAUUGUCCUCUGCAACUCGAGGGCAUGAAGUCGGAAUCGCUAGUAAUCGUGGAUCAGCAUGCCACGGUGAAUUCGUUCUCGGGUCUUGUACACACUGCCCGUCACAUCAUGGGAGUUGGUUUUACCUUAAGGCGGUGCGCUAACCGAAAGGGGGCAGCCGACCACGGUAGGAUCAGUGACUGGGGUGAAGUCGUAACAAGGUAAC